RNAcentral lists this ribosomal RNA (1260 nucleotides) under Triticum aestivum (bread wheat). Its description in RNAcentral is "partial small subunit ribosomal RNA". Lineage: Eukaryota; Viridiplantae; Streptophyta; Magnoliopsida; Poales; Poaceae. The record is from RNAcentral.
AUGAACUUCAAUAUGCAGGGGAUGGAAAAGACCAUUCCUGAGGUAUAUUCAAUGCUGAAAUCAGCGGAGGUGGAGAUCAAAAAGGAACAUCAAGUGUUGAUGGUGAAUAAAACCACUAAGUUCAAGAAAGGCAAGGGUAAGAAGAACUUCAAGAAGGACGGCAAGGGAGUUGCUGCGCCCGGUAAGCCAGUUGCCGGGAAGAAGCCAAAGAAUGGACCCAAGCCUGAGACUGAGUGCUUUUAUUGCAAGGGAAGUGGUCACUGGAAGCGGAACUGCCCCAAGUACUUGGCGGACAAGAAGGACGGAAACACCAAAGGUAUAUGUGAUAUACAUGUUAUUGAUGUGUACCUUACCAGCACUCGUAGUAGCUCCUGGGUAUUUGAUACCGGUGCGGUUGCUCAUAUUUGUAACUCAAAGCAGGAGCUGCGGAAUAAACGGAGACUGGCAAAGGACGAGGUGACGAUGCGCGUCGGGAAUGGUUCCAAGGUUGAUGUGAUCGCCGUCGGCACGCUACCUCUACAUUUACCUACGGGAUUAGUUUUAAACCUCAAUAAUUGUUAUUUAGUGCCAGCUUUGAGCAUGAACAUUGUAUCAGGAUCUCGUUUAAUUCAAGAUGGCUACUCAUUUUCCGAGAAUAAUGGUUGUUCUAUUUAUAUGAGAGAUAUGUUUUAUGGUCAUGCCCCGCUGGUUAAUGGUUUAUUCUUAAUGAAUCUCGAACGUCGUGUUACACAUAUUCAUAGUGUGAAUACCAAAAGAUGUAAGGUUGAUAAUGAUAGUCCCACAUACUUGUGGCACUGCCGUCUUGGUCACAUUGGUGUCAAACGCAUGAAGAAGCUCCAUGCAGAUGGACUUUUGGAGUCUCUUGAUUACGAAUCAUUUGACACGUGCGAACCAUGCCUCAUGGGUAAGAUGACCAAGACUCCGUUCUCCGGAACAAUGGAGCGAGCAACCAACUUAUUGGAAAUCAUACAUACUGAUGUGUGCGGUCCAAUGAGUGUUGAGGCUCGCGGUGGCUAUCGUUAUGUUCUCACUCUCACUGAUGACUUGAGUAUAUAUGGGUAUGUCUACCUAAUGAAACACAAGUCUGAGACCUUUGAAAAGUUCAAGGAAUUUCAGAGUGAGGUUGAGAAUCAACGUGACAGAAAAAUAAAGUUCUUACGAUCAGAUCGUGGAGGGGAAUAUUUGAGUCACGAAUUUGGCACACACUUAAGGAAAUGUGGAAUAGUUUCACAACUCACGCCGCCUGGAACACCUCAGUGA